Molecule: ribosomal RNA, 756 nt
Filed under: Proasellus hercegovinensis
Lineage: Eukaryota; Metazoa; Arthropoda; Malacostraca; Isopoda; Asellidae
Description: 12S ribosomal RNA
Source: RNAcentral
CCAAAUAGAGGUGAAUUUUUGUUAAUAAUUUUACUGGGCUUCCCCUUCUUCUAUAAGUUUAAUUCUAGUUAAAUAUAUACAUCAUAUUUAUUGUGUAUAGAAUGUUAUUUAAACCUAAAAUAUCUAGCACAAAAAAUUUUGUGAUCGGCUAACCCGACAAAAGUAAAUAAAUGACCAAUUAGGUGCCAGCAUUCGCGGUUACACCUGUUUUUAUUAUAUAGUUCAUGGUCCAGAGACGCUAAAAUUUAAUAAAAAGCACCCAGAGGUAAAAUUCUACCUGCCUUAUAAAUUCACCUACAGCCUACCUUAAAAACUAAAUAAUAAACAGGGAUUAGAGACCCCUUUAUUCAAUACACACCCAAACCCAGGGUAAUACAUGCUAUAUCCAAUAAACCCAAAGAAUUUGGCGGCAAUCAACCUUUCCAGAGAGACCUGUAAAUCAAUUUGACAACCCACCCUAUAUCUUACUCUAACUAAAACUUGCAUACCGUCAUUUAAAUUUUACUGUAAAGUAAAUAUUUUUAAGGUUACACAUAUAUUAGAUCAACGCGCAGUAUAUUAUUAGAGCUUUCCAUGGGUCUCAAUUUAAAUCAAAUAGAAAAGAUUUCAAACAAUCUUGUAAAGAGGAUUUGGAUGUAAUAAAAUUUUAAAAUAAUUUUAUGAUUAAGCCAUUGAUUGUGUACAUAUCGCCCGUCGCCCUCGACACGAGGUAAGUCGUAACAUAGUAGAAGUACUAGAAAGUGUUUCUUUACUUAA